UUUGGUGGUCAUAGCGCGAGCAAAACACCCGGUCCCAUUCCGAACCCGGAAGUUAAGUGCCGAUGCGCCGAUGGUACUGCGCCAAUAGACGUGGGAGAGUAGGUCACCGCCAAACC
This 116-nucleotide ribosomal RNA is filed under the name Rhodovulum sp. P5. The record is from RNAcentral. Lineage: Bacteria; Pseudomonadati; Pseudomonadota; Alphaproteobacteria; Rhodobacterales; Paracoccaceae.